RNAcentral lists this ribosomal RNA (560 nucleotides) under uncultured bacterium. RNAcentral's name for it is "bacterial SSU rRNA". It matches the Rfam family "Bacterial small subunit ribosomal RNA", at positions 338 to 916 of the family's 1533-position model. The record is from RNAcentral.
CCUACGGGAGGCAGCAGUGGGGAAUCUUGCACAAUGGGGGAAACCCUGAUGCAGCGACGCCGCGUGAGCAAUGAAGCCCUUCGGGGUGUAAAGCUCUUUCGGCAGGGACGAUCAUGACGGUACCUGCAGAAGCAGCUGCGGCUAACUACGUGCCAGCAGCCGCGGUAAUACGUAGGCAGCGAGCGUUGUUCGGAGUUACUGGGCGUAAAGGGUGUGUAGGCGGUUGCUUAAGUUUGGUGUGAAAUCUCCCGGCUCAACUGGGAGGGUGCGCCGAAUACUGAGUGACUCGAGUGCGGGAGAGGAGAGUGGAAUUCCUGGUGUAGCGGUGAAAUGCGCAGAUAUCAGGAGGAACACCGGCGGUGUAGACGGCUCUCUGGACCGUAGCUGACGCUGAGACACGAAAGCGUGGGUAGCAAACAGGAUUAGAUACCCUGGUAGUCCACGCCCUAAACGAUGCAUAUUUGGUGUGGGUCAUUCAGUUGAUCCGUGCCGGAGCUAACGCGUUAAAUAUGCCGCCUGGGGAGUACAGUCGCAAGGCUGAAACUCAAAGGAAUUGACGG